Long non-coding RNA from Musa acuminata AAA Group (dessert banana), 1410 nucleotides. RefSeq lists it as uncharacterized. The transcript is spliced from 3 exons. The record is from RefSeq and is a predicted model, not a curated record. NCBI's taxonomy places the organism in Eukaryota, Viridiplantae, Streptophyta, Magnoliopsida, Zingiberales, Musaceae.
CCUCUCGAGUCUAUUGAUCUCUGGGGGCAGCGGUUCAUCGAUCUCUUACUGGCCCUGUUAGUCUCUCUCGCGGCGGUGGUCAGGUCCGUUCAUUUUCUUGGUUUUCUAUGCGUUCGAAGGGGGAGUAGGUCGAUGAACGUCAGCAUCCGGACUUCCGCAUCGACCCGUCUCCCGAUCCCCCUUCGCCGUCCAUUUGUUGCGACCUCUUCUUUAACUCUAUUCUUUACACCAGAGACUGGGAGAAAAAAGAUCUAAGGUGAUGGCUAUUUUUGAGUCGGCAAUAAUAGUGCCAUGAACAUAAAGAUCGGUACGGAGUGAUGGAAGGCUCGAGCUUGAUGAUUGAUGAAUGAGGAAAGUAAUUCUGUUUGGAUGCCUGUAGUUCGUCAAAUAGACAUCUUUAACUAUAUGAUGAAUUAAAAUAUCAUUUUUAGCUAGGAAGCUGGAUCUGUUUUGUAAGUCGUCAAGAACGGGCAAGCGGCAGAUAUUGUGAGACGGAUUUAACAUGGCUUCGGGAGGAAUAAGUGGGGAAAACGAAGUAGAGCUGAUCAUACUAAUGGACAGAAGGGCGUGGUUUCCUAUGAGGGUGAUUGAGAUGUCUUCCGUGAUUUGAAGGUUUGACUUAGCUACAUGAUUAUGUUUCUCGUUACUUCUCCCAAAUUCUGGGUGACAAGACUCAAGACACUGGAAAAUUUUCUCCAGUAUUGGUAGCUCACGACUCUUAGAUAACGAAAUCCCUACUGAUGAUGUUGCUGGUAAAAAUUCCACGAGAAUUCUUAUUGUGCUGAUUUGGGUGUCAACUUCACCUGUCUUGGAAGAUCUCUUGUUGCUCUUCAUGAUUUGUGAAAUCUCAUACUGCAUCAUUAGAAGUCGUGUAUGCAGAAAAUUCCUGUCAUCAGAAAUUGUUGACUUUGUGAAUUGGGUUUAUUGCAGUGUUGACUCUGUGCCAGCUUCUGAAUUUUUUGGGCAAGACAGGAGAUAUCCUUGAUACACACUAGAUGACUGUAAUGUGCAUGGUCAGAGAGAGCACACAACAUUCUGGAGGUUAAUUACAUCUAUGACUGAGAGCAAAUAAUGCUCUGAAGUUUAGCCAGCCAUUGGUUAAGUCAUGAUUAUUUCAUGUAAGAUUCAACUUGACCCCAUAUGCAGCUGAAAUGGUCUCAUGCAUUGAUGCCAGACAGCCAGAAUGAAAAGCUGGUUUUUUAUUAUCAUAUUUGAUAGUUUUCUUUCUAUCUUUUCUGAAUGUAAGAAAUGUAGUAGGAUGCCAAGCAUAGCUAACUAUAUUAUUUACUCUCAACACCAGUUCAACUUUGUAUUCUUUGAGUGUUGACUAUGUAUUAGUUGGAUAACUGGUACACUGCAUUAGUUGUUUAACACUUGAGGGCAAUUUAUUAUUGGUUUGCAAGUAAAACA